AGUUUGAUCCUGGCUCAGGAUGAACGCUAGCUACAGGCUUAACACAUGCAAGUCGAGGGGCAGCAUUGGAGUAGCAAUACUUCAGAUGGCGACCGGCGCACGGGUGAGUAACACGUAUCCAACCUGCCGCUUACUCGGGGAUAGCCUUUCGAAAGAAAGAUUAAUACCCGAUGGUAUAAAGAGUUCGCAUGUUCUCUUUAUUAAAGAAUUUCGGUAAGCGAUGGGGAUGCGUUCCAUUAGAUUGUUGGCGGGGUAACGGCCCACCAAGUCUACGAUGGAUAGGGGUUCUGAGAGGAAGGUCCCCCACAUUGGAACUGAGACACGGUCCAAACUCCUACGGGAGGCAGCAGUGAGGAAUAUUGGUCAAUGGACGCGAGUCUGAACCAGCCAAGUAGCGUGAAGGAUGACUGCCCUAUGGGUUGUAAACUUCUUUUAUAAGGGAAUAAAGUGAGGGACGUGUCCCUUUUUGUAUGUACCUUAUGAAUAAGGAUCGGCUAACUCCGUGCCAGCAGCCGCGGUAAUACGGAGGAUCCAAGCGUUAUCCGGAUUUAUUGGGUUUAAAGGGAGCGUAGGUUGACAUAUAAGUCAGCUGUGAAAGUUUACGGCUCAACCGUGAAAUUGCAGUUGAUACUGUAUGUCUUGAGUGUACAAGAGGUGGGCGGAAUUCGUGGUGUAGCGGUGAAAUGCUUAGAUAUCACGAAGAACUCCAAUUGCGAAGGCAGCUCACUGGGGUACAACUGACACUGAGGCUCGAAAGUGUGGGUAUCAAACAGGAUUAGAUACCCUGGUAGUCCACACAGUAAACGAUGAAUACUCGCUGUUUGCGAUAUACAGUAAGCGGCCAAGCGAAAGCAUUAAGUAUUCCACCUGGGGAGUACGCCGGCAACGGUGAAACUCAAAGGAAUUGACGGGGGCCCGCACAAGCGGAGGAACAUGUGGUUUAAUUCGAUGAUACGCGAGGAACCUUACCUGGGCUUGAAUUGCAGAGGAACAUAGUUGAAAGAUUAUGGCCGCAAGGUCUCUGUGAAGGUGCUGCAUGGUUGUCGUCAGCUCGUGCCGUGAGGUGUCGGCUUAAGUGCCAUAACGAGCGCAACCCUUAUCAUUAGUUACUAACAGGUGAUGCUAAGGACUCUAGUGAGACUGCCGUCGUAAGAUGUGAGGAAGGUGG
RNAcentral lists this ribosomal RNA (1168 nucleotides) under uncultured Bacteroides sp. RNAcentral's name for it is "bacterial SSU rRNA". It matches the Rfam family "Bacterial small subunit ribosomal RNA", at positions 10 to 1176 of the family's 1533-position model. Lineage: Bacteria; Pseudomonadati; Bacteroidota; Bacteroidia; Bacteroidales; Bacteroidaceae. The record is from RNAcentral.